Molecule: small RNA, 687 nt
Filed under: Pongo abelii (Sumatran orangutan)
Lineage: Eukaryota; Metazoa; Chordata; Mammalia; Primates; Hominidae
Description: retained intron
Source: RNAcentral
CUUCCCGCGUCCACCGAUUCCUCCUCCUUGGUCGCCGCGUCCUUGGCUGGCGUCAGAAAAAUGGCUACAAACUUCCUAGCACAUGAGAAGAUCUGGUUCGACAAGUUCAAAUAUGACGACGCAGAAAGGAGAUUCUACGAGCAGAUGAACGGGCCUGUGGCAGGUGCCUCCCGCCAGGAGAACGGCGCCAGCGUGAUCCUCCGUGACAUUGCGAGAGCCAGAGAGAACAUCCAGAAAUCCCUGGCUGGAAGCUCAGGCCCCGGGGCCUCCAGCGGCCCCAGCGGAGACCACAGCGAGCUCGUCGUCCGGAUCGCCAGUCUAGAAGUGGAGAACCAGAGCCUGCGUGGCGGUGAGGCCCCGGGCCAGUGGGUUGGGGCUGUCCCUGGCCUCUGCCAUCUAACCGUGCUCCCCUUGCCCCCUAGUGGUACAGGAGCUGCAGCAGGCCAUCUCCAAGCUGGAGGCCCGGCUGAACGUGCUGGAGAAGAGCUCGCCUGGCCACCGGGCCACGACCCCGCAGACCCAGCAUGUCUCUCCCAUGCGCCAAGUGGAGCCCCCAGCCAAGAAGCCAGCCACACCAGCAGAGGAUGACGAGGAUGACGACAUUGACCUGUUUGGCAGCGACAAUGAGGAGGAGGACAAAGAGGCGGCACAGCUGCGGGAGGAGCGGCUACGGCAGUACGCGGAGAA